RNAcentral lists this long non-coding RNA (220 nucleotides) under Elaeis guineensis (African oil palm). Its description in RNAcentral is "long non-coding RNA (EGUI_LNC068246)". The record is from RNAcentral. Lineage: Eukaryota; Viridiplantae; Streptophyta; Magnoliopsida; Arecales; Arecaceae.
GCUCCACCUUCUGUAACGGAUACUGCGCGAUUCUUCCAUCCACUGGCAAGUCGCGACAACGGACACCGCUCCACUCCCUGCGGCAGACUCCACGUGGCGCGCUGCAGUGAGGGCCAUGGGUCUACUCCACUACUCCUCGCAAUAAAUUUCUCCUGACAGUGGGCGGCCCACUACGAGACGGUUAUGAACGUCGCUAUCAGUUUGUUGAGCCCUCCGCCUA